UGUUUGUCAUCAGUAUAAACUCUUGUGGUAUUUUACCUGCUUGGAGAUUGGAGGGGACUAACAUCUUAAUUUGCUGUAGCUGUCUCCAAAAAAACUGCUCAGCUGUUCUGUGAUGGGAGGGCUGAGAUUCAGACUGCCGCUGCAGAGGCUAAACACUGAUGGUACUGCAACCCUCAUGGCUGUCAUGGCAAAGUACCUUUUGCCUUUAUUUUUCUUCUGUUCUUCUGCUAAAAGAUUAAUUCUUUUCUCUCGGUUCAUUACCAAGUAUUUGUAGAGGAGUUGGUGGCCCAGCGUGUGGCACGGGGGUUGGAGAUUCAUGAUCCUAGAGGUCCCUUCCAACCCUGGCCAUUCUGUGAUUCUGAGCUCGUAGCCAGGACUGCUCCAGCUAUCACUGUUAUUUGUUUUCUCUCUUCAUUUCUCUACUGGCAUUAAGACAGAGUUGGCACUGAAGCUAUGAGAAAUAUUGACAGUAAAAUGAGGUUUAAUUUAACAGAUCCAUAUAUUUGUAGAAACUUCCAUGAGGAUUUGGAAACAAUAACUGAGCAUAUCUGCAUGGAUGAAAAAGAGCCAGUUUACACACCUGCAGCUACUUGCUUUAUUGCCUGCUUUCCAUGGUUGUGGAUUGAAGCCCUUUUCUGAGCAGCAUCCUGCCAGGAAGGCCAUACCAACUUCCAUUUCUGUGUCCAGGUUGGGGGUAAAAUGGACAGAAGUCUUGAAUGAGACAAAAGUGGACUUUGGUAAAGGGAGCAGCUGCAUUUCCUUCUUCACUGAAGCAACGUCUCCAGAAGUGUUGCUGCACUGAGUAUCAAUGCAUUGCAAGGUUGUUCUUAGCCUGGGCAUGCCUGUUAUGUCCCAUGGUGGUAGAGACUUCAGAAUAUGCGUAGAGCAAAUUUUCGUGUCUGCAUCCUAGGCUUUUCUGAUUCUUACUGAAUUUAUUUAAAAUUCCUGUAUGAAAAGGUUGGUUAUACGGGUAUUUUUAAAUUAGUCUGGCCUGUAUUCUGAGACAACAAACUUCAGUUGUAAACCAAACACAUUGGGAAGCAUCAAGACUAAACAAAGGAGCUUACCAUUUAUUUUUAUUUCUUAAAAGAAAAAAAAAAAAAUCCUCAAAGCAUUUUAAUUUGUUAAUUAUGUAUAUUAACACACAAUAACCUAAAAAGAUUGCUGAAUCCAAAGACGCUGCUCCAGUGCCCUGUGGUUUGAGGAGUUAUUUUGAGGAAUAAACACAAUGUAAGCUUUUCCUAUUCCUAUAGC
Molecule: long non-coding RNA, 1254 nt
Filed under: Phasianus colchicus (ring-necked pheasant)
Lineage: Eukaryota; Metazoa; Chordata; Aves; Galliformes; Phasianidae
Description: lncRNA (ENSPCLG00000017756.1)
Source: RNAcentral